UUGCACAAUGGGCGCAAGCCUGAUGCAGCAACGCCGCGUGCGGGACGAAGGCCUUCGGGUCGUAAACCGCUUUUUCUGAGGGACGAGACAGGACGGUACCUCAGGAAUAAGUCUCGGCUAACUACGUGCCAGCAGCCGCGGUAAAACGUAGGAGGCGAGCGUUAUCCGGAUUUACUGGGCGUAAAGCGCACGCAGGCGGCGCCGUGAGUCGGACGUGAAAGCUCCUGGCUUAACUGGGAGAGGCCGUUCGAUACUGCGGGGCUUGAGGUUGGGAGAGGGGUGCGGAAUUCCCGGUGUAGUGGUGGAAUGCGUAGAUAUCGGGAGGAACACCAGUGGCGAAGGCGGCACCCUGGCCCACACCUGACGCUGAGGUGCGAAAGCGUGGGUAGCAAACAGGAUUAGAUACCCUGGUAGUCCACGCCGUAAACGAUGUCAACUAGGUGUCGGUAGUGUUACACUAGCGGUGCCGUAGCUAACGCGUUAAGUUGACCGCCUGGGGACUACGGCCGCAAGGCUA
This 517-nucleotide ribosomal RNA is filed under the name uncultured Chloroflexota bacterium. RNAcentral's name for it is "bacterial SSU rRNA". It matches the Rfam family "Bacterial small subunit ribosomal RNA", at positions 364 to 896 of the family's 1533-position model. The record is from RNAcentral. Lineage: Bacteria; Bacillati; Chloroflexota.